UACGUAGGGUGCAAGCGUUGUCCGGAAUUAUUGGGCGUAAAGAGCUCGUAGGCGGUCUGUUGCGUCGGCUGUGAAAACCCGGGGCUCAACUCCGGGCCUGCAGCCGAUACGGGCAGACUAGAGUUCGGCAGGGGAGACUGGAAUUCCUGGUGUAGCGGUGAAAUGCGCAGAUAUCAGGAAGAACACCCGUGGCGAAAGCGGCUCUUUGGAACGGUACUGACGCUGAGACGCGAAAGCGUGGGGAGCGAACAGG
Molecule: ribosomal RNA, 253 nt
Filed under: uncultured bacterium
Lineage: Bacteria
Description: partial 16S ribosomal RNA
Rfam family: Bacterial small subunit ribosomal RNA
Source: RNAcentral